AAAACGACGGCCAGUUGGUGCAUGGCCGUUCUUAGUUCGUGGAGUGAUUUGUCUGGUUAAUUCCGAUAACGAACGAGACUCAAAUUUCUUAACUAGAUGCCGGCAGGGCUAUGGUGUUGAAACUUUGUAUGCGAUUUUGUCCUCUAUGCUUUAAAAUAUUUUUAUAUGUUCCUUUACGGGUUCAUAUUUGAAUUUUUAUUGUAUAUGAUAAAAUUUGUUGUGCAGGUGGAGCUAUACCUGGUGGUUUGUCUGAAUAAGACACUUGCUUCUUAAAUGGACAAAUUGCGUCUAGCAAUAAUGAGAUUGAGCAAUAACAGGUCUGUGAUGCCCUUAGAUGGUCAU
RNAcentral lists this ribosomal RNA (342 nucleotides) under Tipulidae sp. DIMDB029-13. Its description in RNAcentral is "bacterial SSU rRNA". It matches the Rfam family "Eukaryotic small subunit ribosomal RNA", at positions 1264 to 1482 of the family's 1831-position model. Lineage: Eukaryota; Metazoa; Arthropoda; Insecta; Diptera; Tipulidae. The record is from RNAcentral.